RNAcentral lists this long non-coding RNA (1075 nucleotides) under Cyanistes caeruleus (blue tit). RNAcentral's name for it is "lncRNA (ENSCCEG00000013035.1)". The record is from RNAcentral. Lineage: Eukaryota; Metazoa; Chordata; Aves; Passeriformes; Paridae.
GAGGGGAUUCAAUAAUCCAUUCCAUGGUACUCACUAUCAAAGCUGUGCAUACCCCUCUGUAGGCAGGUUGUUUUAAAAUGUCCCACCAGGAAGAAGGAAAAUGUCCCAAAUGACUGCCAGGUUGUGUUACAAGCUUCUGACUGAUCCUUAACCUUCACCUGCUGCUGGUGAUUAGUCAGGAACAGGGAAAGCUGGGAAAGCUCACUCCUGCCUUGUGCUGUUGUGUGUUGAAAACACAAAUUCCUUCUGCUUCUACUUCCAGGAGGUCUCAGAGGGGCCUGUGGUCCCGUUGAUAUCCCCACAGUCACACCCACAACAGGCAGCUGUGAUGGCACACACCAGAGGCUGUUGGCAUCUUGGCAGGAUGGGUGUUCUGCAGCCAGCACCACCAGCACUCAGAGCCUCUGGCUGGAGUCAGAAAACAGCCAAAUUGGAUAAGUUUUAACAAAAAUGUAGGUAGCAAACAUGGAACAGGUGAGUGCCUACAUGUACAGCUGUCACUAUGCUGAGUGACUCCAGGCUGGGAGUUGAUGGGUGAACUAACACCACCCGUAAGGGCUGUCCUGAGGGCUGUAGACACCCAAAAUCCUUGCUGAAUACCUGCCCUGACAUGGAAAACACUCUUCUGGAAGGACUUGGCUGUUUUCUAAAUGCUUCCAUGGCUCAAUUCUCAUCUUUCCUGUGCAGGAACCAUCCUGUCUUCACGUCCCAAUGCCUGGCUGGUGCCUUCCCAGUGCUGGACAUGCCUUGUGCUCGUGCUCUCUGUGGAGUCUAUUUGCUUGUGAGAACUUUUCACAAGAGACAGGAUCGGGUUGUGCCCGGGCACUGGAGGUGUUUUGGUUAGGGGGAACAGCUGUGGGCCAGGAUCCACUCUGGACACGAGUGGACUGACACAGGAUCAUGGUGAGGUGCAAUUGCAGUUAUAUUAUUAUUAUUAUUAUUAUUAUUAUGUUGUUGUUGUUGUUGUUGUUUUGUUGUUGUUGUGUUGUUGUUGUUGUUGUGUUGUUGUUGUUGUUGUUGUUUUGUUGUUGCUGUUGUUAAUAAUAAUAAUUAAUAUAUAAAUAAAUAUAUAUAU